UGCCAGCCGCCGCGGUAAUACGAAGGGGGCGAGCGUUGUUCGGAAUCACUGGGCGUAAAGAGUACGUAGGCGGAUUGGAAAGUCAGAUGUGAAAGCCCCGAGCUCAACUUGGGAACUGCCUUUGAUACUGUUUAUCUAGAGUCCGAGAGAGGUUAGUGGAAUUCCCAGUGUAGAGGUGAAAUUCGUAGAUAUUGGGAAGGACACCAGUGGCGAAGGCGGCUAACUGGCUCGGUACUGACGCUGAGAUGCGAAAGCGUGGGGAGCAAACAGGAUUAGAUA
RNAcentral lists this ribosomal RNA (279 nucleotides) under uncultured bacterium. Its description in RNAcentral is "partial 16S ribosomal RNA". It matches the Rfam family "Bacterial small subunit ribosomal RNA", at positions 506 to 784 of the family's 1533-position model. The record is from RNAcentral.